RNAcentral lists this ribosomal RNA (1848 nucleotides) under Shigella flexneri. RNAcentral describes it as "partial 23S ribosomal RNA". It matches the Rfam family "Bacterial large subunit ribosomal RNA", at positions 1054 to 2881 of the family's 2925-position model. The record is from RNAcentral. Lineage: Bacteria; Pseudomonadati; Pseudomonadota; Gammaproteobacteria; Enterobacterales; Enterobacteriaceae.
CAUGGUUAAGUGGGAAACGAUGUGGGAAGGCCCAGACAGCCAGGAUGUUGGCUUAGAAGCAGCCAUCAUUUAAAGAAAGCGUAAUAGCUCACUGGUCGAGUCGGCCUGCGCGGAAGAUGUAACGGGGCUAAACCAUGCACCGAAGCUGCGGCAGCGACGCUUAUGCGUUGUUGGGUAGGGGAGCGUUCUGUAAGCCUGUGAAGGUGUGCUGUGAGGUAUGCUGGAGGUAUCAGAAGUGCGAAUGCUGACAUAAGUAACGAUAAAGCGGGUGAAAAGCCCGCUCGCCGGAAGACCAAGGGUUCCUGUCCAACGUUAAUCGGGGCAGGGUGAGUCGACCCCUAAGGCGAGGCCGAAAGGCGUAGUCGAUGGGAAACAGGUUAAUAUUCCUGUACUUGGUGUUACUGCGAAGGGGGGACGGAGAAGGCUAUGUUGGCCGGGCGACGGUUGUCCCGGUUUAAGCGUGUAGGCUGGUUUUCCAGGCAAAUCCGGAAAAUCAAGGCCGAGGCGUGAUGACGAGGCACUACGGUGCUGAAGCAACAAAUGCCCUGCUUCCAGGAAAAGCCUCUAAGCAUCAGGUAACAUCAAAUCGUACCCCAAACCGACACAGGUGGUCAGGUAGAGAAUACCAAGGCGCUUGAGAGAACUCGGGUGAAGGAACUAGGCAAAAUGGUGCCGUAACUUCGGGAGAAGGCACGCUGAUACGUAGGUGAAGCGACUUGCUCGUGGAGCUGAAAUCAGUCGAAGAUACCAGCUGGCUGCAACUGUUUAUUAAAAACACAGCACUGUGCAAACACGAAAGUGGACGUAUACGGUGUGACGCCUGCCCGGUGCCGGAAGGUUAAUUGAUGGGGUUAGCGCAAGCGAAGCUCUUGAUCGAAGCCCCGGUAAACGGCGGCCGUAACUAUAACGGUCCUAAGGUAGCGAAAUUCCUUGUCGGGUAAGUUCCGACCUGCACGAAUGGCGUAAUGAUGGCCAGGCUGUCUCCACCCGAGACUCAGUGAAAUUGAACUCGCUGUGAAGAUGCAGUGUACCCGCGGCAAGACGGAAAGACCCCGUGAACCUUUACUAUAGCUUGACACUGAACAUUGAGCCUUGAUGUGUAGGAUAGGUGGGAGGCUUUGAAGUGUGGACGCCAGUCUGCAUGGAGCCGACCUUGAAAUACCACCCUUUAAUGUUUGAUGUUCUAACGUGGACCCGUGAUCCGGGUUGCGGACAGUGUCUGGUGGGUAGUUUGACUGGGGCGGUCUCCUCCUAAAGAGUAACGGAGGAGCACGAAGGUUGGCUAAUCCUGGUCGGACAUCAGGAGGUUAGUGCAAUGGCAUAAGCCAGCUUGACUGCGAGCGUGACGGCGCGAGCAGGUGCGAAAGCAGGUCAUAGUGAUCCGGUGGUUCUGAAUGGAAGGGCCAUCGCUCAACGGAUAAAAGGUACUCCGGGGAUAACAGGCUGAUACCGCCCAAGAGUUCAUAUCGACGGCGGUGUUUGGCACCUCGAUGUCGGCUCAUCACAUCCUGGGGCUGAAGUAGGUCCCAAGGGUAUGGCUGUUCGCCAUUUAAAGUGGUACGCGAGCUGGGUUUAGAACGUCGUGAGACAGUUCGGUCCCUAUCUGCCGUGGGCGCUGGAGAACUGAGGGGGGCUGCUCCUAGUACGAGAGGACCGGAGUGGACGCAUCACUGGUGUUCGGGUUGUCAUGCCAAUGGCACUGCCCGGUAGCUAAAUGCGGAAGAGAUAAGUGCUGAAAGCAUCUAAGCACGAAACUUGCCCCGAGAUGAGUUCUCCCUGACCCUUUAAGGGUCCUGAAGGAACGUUGAAGACGACGACGUUGAUAGGCCGGGUGUGUAAGCGCAGCGA